This 427-nucleotide ribosomal RNA is filed under the name uncultured bacterium. RNAcentral's name for it is "partial 16S ribosomal RNA". It matches the Rfam family "Bacterial small subunit ribosomal RNA", at positions 355 to 774 of the family's 1533-position model. The record is from RNAcentral.
UGGGGAAUAUUGCACAAUGGGCGCAAGCCUGAUGCAGCCAUGCCGCGUGUAUGAAGAAGGCCUUCGGGUUGUAAAGUACUUUCAGCGAGGAGGAAGGCGUUGUGGUUAAUAACCGCAGCGAUUGACGUUACUCGCAGAAGAAGCACCGGCUAACUCCGUGCCAGCAGCCGCGGUAAUACGGAGGGUGCAAGCGUUAAUCGGAAUUACUGGGCGUAAAGCGCACGCAGGCGGUCUGUCAAGUCGGAUGUGAAAUCCCCGGGCUCAACCUGGGAACUGCAUCCGAAACUGGCAGGCUAGAGUCUUGUAGAGGGGGGUAGAAUUCCAGGUGUAGCGGUGAAAUGCGUAGAGAUCUGGAGGAAUACCGGUGGCGAAGGCGGCCCCCUGGACAAAGACUGACGCUCAGGUGCGAAAGCGUGGGGAACAAACA